RNAcentral lists this unclassified non-coding RNA (425 nucleotides) under Zea mays. RNAcentral's name for it is "misc RNA Zm00001eb378480". Lineage: Eukaryota; Viridiplantae; Streptophyta; Magnoliopsida; Poales; Poaceae. The record is from RNAcentral.
AGGGGGAGCCCGAGGUCGAGGAACCGCGCGACGAAGCGGCGCACGGAGGCGAGCGAGCUGAGGUCGAGCGGCAGCACGGCGACGUCGGCGCCCGGGCACUCGGCGCGCACCCGCGCGCGGGCCUCCUCGGCGGCCUUGAGGCUCCGCGCCGGCAGCACCAGCCGCGCGCCGCGCCCGGCCAGCACCCGCGCCGUCUCCGCGCCGAUCCCCGACGUGGCGCCCGUGAUGAUGGCGGUGACGUGGCGCAGGUCGCCGGCCGCGGCCUCCUCGGCGGUCGUCCGCGAGCCGAAGCCGCUCGGCCCCGCCGUGCCGGCCAGGUACCGCAGCGAGGCCAGCAUGGUCGUUGGGCCGGCCGAUCUGAUCGGCCGGUGGCUCGAUCGGUGCUAGCCGCUGAUGGUGGCGACGACGGUGCCUCGAUCGCCGCG